Long non-coding RNA from Diabrotica virgifera virgifera (western corn rootworm), 944 nucleotides. RefSeq lists it as uncharacterized. NCBI's taxonomy places the organism in Eukaryota, Metazoa, Arthropoda, Insecta, Coleoptera, Chrysomelidae. The transcript is spliced from 2 exons. The record is from RefSeq and is a predicted model, not a curated record.
GUGAAGCGCAAUACAAGAUGCUGUUUCCAGUUAGCAUCUCUAGCCUCUCCUACUCAAUUCCUAUCCUCACCUCCACGAAGUGCGGCUUAGGCUGCACGGGUGAACCCUGGAGAACCUGAGCAACCUUACCGGAGAUUGGGUAACCAACCACAGUGGAAAGUAGGGUCAGGGCUGACGAGGAAGGGAGAAAUGGUCCUCCGAAAAGGGGGUUGGGCGAUAUGCCAGUAACCUAUUCUUGUAAAAAAGUACUACUACUGUUUAAUAUUUAAUAUUCCGAUAACUAAUCGAAUAAAGGAUUACAGAUUACGACCAUAGAAAAAAGUGUUGUGUGAUUUGGUAGAAUGCGAUCUUAUCCUUCAAAAAAUAUGUCACGUAUUUCAGCACCUGGAAAAUUGGAAGGAUACUACAAAUCUGGCCUCCACAUAAGUGGUCUGUAGCUUCGACAUGGUAGGUGUGAAAUUUUAAACGUUCUUGCUGUUGAUUGGAUAGGAAUGGUAGCGUUAUCUAGCCUCCACGCUAGGUACACCAUAGCCUCCAUACGGUACUUCCAAUAUUUAAUAUUAUUUUAUUCAAGUGGACAAUAAAGGUAAAACACAAACAACUUUUGUUUCUUAAUUAUUUAUUUAUACAAUAAUGUGACAUUUUACAUAGAAAUAUGAGUAUUUAAUUUCGAUUAAAUAUAUGUUUACUUGUUGAAUUUAUCGGCUGCACACAACAGCUGAUCGGCCAUUAGACCCAACAACAAAACGCGAAAUAAAAUGUGUAUUUUAAAACUGUUGGAUAAACAGUACCUACAAUCAGAAAAACUUACCUUUAAAAAGGUACUCGAUUAUGAAAUAACAAAAAUAUCAAAAAACACGACUGAAUAUCAGCUUUUUAUGGUGACACAAACUAAACACAAACACCAAACACAUCAACAUCACAUAACCGACCAUAUAAAAUAA